GACGAACGCUGGCGGCGUGCUUAACACAUGCAAGUCGAACGGAAAGGCCCUGCUUUUGUGGGGUGCUCGAGUGGCGAACGGGUGAGUAACACGUGAGUAACCUGCCCUUGACUUUGGGAUAACUUCAGGAAACUGGGGCUAAUACCGGAUAGGAGCUCCUGCUGCAUGGUGGGGGUUGGAAAGUUUCGGCGGUUGGGGAUGGACUCGCGGCUUAUCAGCUUGUUGGUGGGGUAGUGGCUUACCAAGGCUUUGACGGGUAGCCGGCCUGAGAGGGUGACCGGCCCAAUGGGGGCUGGGGUCCGGCCCAGACUCCUCCGGGGGGCAGCGGUGGGGAAUUUUGCCAAAUGGGCGGAAGCCUGAUGCAGAAACCCCGCGGGGGGGAUGGCGGCCUUGGGGUUGUAAACCGCUUUCGCCUUUGACGAAGCGUGGGUGACGGUAAUGGGAAAAGAAGCCCCGGCUACCUACGU
Molecule: ribosomal RNA, 467 nt
Filed under: uncultured bacterium
Lineage: Bacteria
Description: partial 16S ribosomal RNA
Rfam family: Bacterial small subunit ribosomal RNA
Source: RNAcentral